CUCAGGGUAAGUCGACCCCUAAGGCGAGGCCGAAAGGCGUAGCUGAUGGGAAGCGGGUUAAUAUUCCCGUACCACUUGAAUCGCGUUAUUAGCGAUGGGGUAACGUAGAAGGGUAAUUUAUCCGGGUGUUGGACGUCCCGGUUCAAGCAUGUAGGAGGGUGAUUUUGGCAAAUCCGGAUCACCAUUAACUCUGAGGUGUGAUGAGGAGCUUCUCCUUCGGGACAAGCGAACUAAAUGAUCCCAUGCUACCGAGAAAAACCUCUAGUGAGCUAUUCAGGUGAUCGUACCCUAAACCGACACGGGUAGAUGAGUAGAGAAUACUAAGGCGCUUGAGAGAACUCUGGUUAAGGAACUCGGCAAAUUAGCUCCGUAACUUCGGGAUAAGGAGUGCCCUCAUAAGGUGAAAGAACUUGCUUCUGGAGCUGAAGGGGGUUGCAGUGACCAGGUAGCCGCGACUGUUUACUAAAAACACAGGACUCUGCUAAGUCGUAAGACGACGUAUAGGGUCUGACGCCUGCCCGGUGCCGGAAGGUUAAAAGGAGGGGUUAACCCUUGGGUGAAGCUCCGAAUUGAAGCCCCGGUAAACGGCGGCCGUAACUAUAACGGUCCUAAGGUAGCGAAAUUCCUUGUCGGGUAAGUUCCGACCUGCACGAAUGGUCAGUGAAAUUGACAUACCGGUGAAGAUGCCGGUUUCCCGCAGAAGGACGGAAAGACCCCGUGCACCUUUACUACAGCUUGAUAUUGGAUAUUGGUUUAGUAUGUGUAGGAUAGGUGGGAGACUUUGAAACUUUGGCGCUAGCCAGAGUGGAGUCAAUCUUGAAAUACCACCCUUAUUACACUGAUAUUCUAACCUCGGUUCCGUGAAUCCGGGCCAGGGACAAUGUCAGGUGGGUAGUUUGACUGGGGCGGUCGCCUCCUAAAAUGUAACGGAGGCGCGCGAAGGUUCCCUCAGGCUGAUUGGAAACCAGCCGACGAGUGUAAAGGCAUAAGGGAGCUUGACUGCAAGACUUACAAGUCGAGCAGGUGCGAAAGCAGGUCUUAGUGAUCCGGUGGUUCCAUGUGGAAGGGCCAUCGCUCAACGGAUAAAAGGUACGCCGGGGAUAACAGGCUUAUCGCCUCCAAGAGUCCAUAUCGACGAGGCGGUUUGGCACCUCGAUGUCGGCUCACCGCAUCCUGGGGCUGAAGCAGGUCCCAAGGGUUGGUCUGUUCGCCCAUUAAAGCGGUACGCGUAUCCUCUGUGGGUGUUGGAUAUUUGAGGAGAUCUGUUCCUAGUACGAGAGGACCGGAAUGGACGAACCUCUGGUUUUCCGGUUGUGAUGCCAAUUGCAUCGCCGGGUAGCUAUGUUCGGAAAGGAUAACCGCUGAAAGCAUCUAAGCGGGAAGCCAACUCCAAAACUAGAUAUCCCCUCCUCCUUCGGGAGGACCGUAGACCCCUUGUAGACUACAAGGUUGAUAGGCCAGAUGUGUAAGCACAGCAAUGUGUUCAGCUAACUGGUACUAAUUGGUCGCGAGGCUUGAUCUU
RNAcentral lists this ribosomal RNA (1522 nucleotides) under hydrothermal vent metagenome. RNAcentral describes it as "bacterial LSU rRNA". It matches the Rfam family "Bacterial large subunit ribosomal RNA", at positions 1373 to 2925 of the family's 2925-position model. The record is from RNAcentral.